RNAcentral lists this small RNA (109 nucleotides) under Flavobacteriaceae bacterium. RNAcentral's name for it is "6S RNA". It matches the Rfam family "6S-Flavo RNA". Lineage: Bacteria; Pseudomonadati; Bacteroidota; Flavobacteriia; Flavobacteriales; Flavobacteriaceae. The record is from RNAcentral.
ACUCAACAAAGUUUAUUUAUAAAGGGGUGAGUUAUGAUUGUUAAAGCAAGCCAUCUUUGAAUGGAUCCUUGAUCAGUUGUGUAGCCUUAAUCGUGUUUUUUAGGAGUUU